RNAcentral lists this ribosomal RNA (238 nucleotides) under uncultured anaerobic ammonium-oxidizing bacterium. RNAcentral describes it as "partial 16S ribosomal RNA". It matches the Rfam family "Bacterial small subunit ribosomal RNA", at positions 439 to 668 of the family's 1533-position model. The record is from RNAcentral.
GGAGUUAGGAAAUGCAGGUGCGUUAAUAGCGCACUUGCUUGACUAAGGCUCCAGAGGAAGCCACGGCUAACUCUGUGCCAGCAGCCGCGGUAAUACAGAGGCGGCAAGCGUAGUUCGGAAUUAUUGGGCGUAAAGAGCACGUAGGCGGCCUUGCAAGUCAGUUGUGAAAGCCUUCCGCUUAACGGAAGAACGGCAUCUGAUACUACAGGGCUUGAGUACGGGAGGGGAGAGUGGAACU